RNAcentral lists this ribosomal RNA (469 nucleotides) under uncultured bacterium. RNAcentral describes it as "partial 16S ribosomal RNA". It matches the Rfam family "Bacterial small subunit ribosomal RNA", at positions 28 to 507 of the family's 1533-position model. The record is from RNAcentral.
GACGAACGCUGGCGGCGUGCUUAACACAUGCAAGUCGAACGGAAAGGCCCUGCUUGCAGGGUGCUCGAGUGGCGAACGGGUGAGUAACACGUGGGUGAUCUGCCCCUUACUUUGGGAUAAGCCUGGGAAACUGGGUCUAAUACUGGAUAGGACCAUGCUGUAGGUGGUGUGGUGGAAAGAUUAGUUUCGGUAAGGGAUGAGCUCGCGGCCUAUCAGCUUGUUGGUGGGGUAAUGGCCUACCAAGGCGUCGACGGGUAGCCGGCCUGAGAGGGUGGACGGCCACAUUGGGACUGAGAUACGGCGCAGACUCCUACGAGAGGCAGCAGUGGGGAAUAUUGCACAAUGGGCGCAAGCCUGAUGCAGCGACGCCGCGUGGGGGAUGACGGCCUUCGGGUUGUAAACUCCUUUCAGCCAUGACGAAGCCCUUGUGGUGACGGUAGUGGUAGAAGAAGCACCGGCUAACUACGUG